Molecule: long non-coding RNA, 247 nt
Filed under: Lathyrus oleraceus (garden pea)
Lineage: Eukaryota; Viridiplantae; Streptophyta; Magnoliopsida; Fabales; Fabaceae
Description: Pisum sativum (pea) long non-coding RNA (PSAT_LNC013682)
Source: RNAcentral
AUGAAUCAAGGACACUCAAGGUCUUGCAUCAAAUGAAUGGCACAAUCAGAGAUAGCUCAGUCUCAGAUGUUGGCAUUGGCCAAGUCCUUUAGCAUAGGGAAUGUUGCUUAGUUCUAAGUCAAGAAGUUCAUAUCAAGUCCCAACAGUCCAACCAGAUGUUUUUUUAGGUUUUUUGUUAUUAUUAGGUAUUUUAAGGUCCUAAGACCAUAAAUAAAACAAAUACAAACAAAACAAAUACAAACAAAAC